GCACUGUUGGUUCAAUGGUAAAGUUCUCGCCUGCCACGCGGGAGGCCCGGGUUCGAUUCCCGGCCAGUGCA
This 71-nucleotide transfer RNA is filed under the name Stylophora pistillata. Its description in RNAcentral is "tRNA-Gly". It matches the Rfam family "tRNA". Rfam says of the family: Transfer RNA (tRNA) molecules are approximately 80 nucleotides in length. Their secondary structure includes four short double-helical elements and three loops (D, anti-codon, and T loops). Lineage: Eukaryota; Metazoa; Cnidaria; Anthozoa; Scleractinia; Pocilloporidae. The record is from Rfam by way of RNAcentral.